GGCCUAACACAUGCAAGUCGAACGCUCCGCAAGGGGAGUGGCGCACGGGAGAGUAACGCGUGGGAACCUACCUAUUGGUUCGGGACAACACCGGGAAACUGGUGCUAAUACCGGAUAAGCCCGAGAGGGGAAAGAUUUAUCACCGAUAGAUGGGCCCGCGUUAGAUUAGCUAGUUGGUGAGGUAAGAGCUCACCAAGGCGACGAUCUAUAGCUGGUCUGAGAGGAUGAUCAGCCUCACUGGGACUGAGACACGGCCCAGACUCCUACGGGAGGCAGCAGUGGGGAAUAUUGGACAAUGGGGGCAACCCUGAUCCAGCCAUGCCGCGUGAAUUAUCAAGGCCUUCGGGUUGUAAAGUUC
Molecule: ribosomal RNA, 358 nt
Filed under: uncultured organism
Description: bacterial SSU rRNA
Rfam family: Bacterial small subunit ribosomal RNA
Source: RNAcentral